AUUGAACGCUGGCGGCAGGCCUAACACAUGCAAGUCGAGCGGUAGAGAGGUGCUUGCAUCUCUUGAGAGCGGCGGACGGGUGAGUAAUGCCUAGGAAUCUGCCUAGUGGUGGGGGAUAACGUUCGGAAACGGACGCUAAUACCGCAUACGUCCUACGGGAGAAAGCGGGGGAUCUUCGGACCUCGCGCCAUUAGAUGAGCCUAGGUCGGAUUAGCUAGUUGGUGAGGUAAUGGCUCACCAAGGCGACGAUCCGUAACUGGUCUGAGAGGAUGAUCAGUCACACUGGAACUGAGACACGGUCCAGACUCCUACGGGAGGCAGCAGUGGGGGAAUAUUGGACAAUGGGCGAAAGCCUGAUCCAGCCAU
Molecule: ribosomal RNA, 366 nt
Filed under: uncultured bacterium
Lineage: Bacteria
Description: bacterial SSU rRNA
Rfam family: Bacterial small subunit ribosomal RNA
Source: RNAcentral